Molecule: long non-coding RNA, 317 nt
Organism: Elgaria multicarinata webbii
Lineage: Eukaryota; Metazoa; Chordata; Lepidosauria; Squamata; Anguidae
Exons: 3
Source: RefSeq, a predicted model, not a curated record
CUUUAUCUUCCGGGAAGGGAAAUCAACCCGGCGAGGCUUCAUGGCGAGGGGAUGAUGGGACUCAGAGGCCCGGGAGGAAACUCAAAUGGUUCGGUGAAGGGAGGCAGCUCAGUUUCCCGCUCUAAGUCCUCUAAAGGUUAACAGAGGCAGGAAGACCCAUAAUUUGGAAGGGGGCGGUGGAUACACUCAGAAGUGCCCCCACGCCUUGUGUUCCUGGGAGAGAAAUCAGCUUGCUCCCAGUGACCCUUGAGGAGGUGACUGUAGGCUUCUCCAAGGAGGAGUGGGCUCUCCUGGAUCCAGGGUAGGGGGCUCUCGGC